AUUGAACGCUGGCGGCAGGCCUAACACAUGCAAGUCGAGCGGAUGAAGGGAGCUUGCUCCUGGAUUCAGCGGCGGACGGGUGAGUAAUGCCUAGGAAUCUGCCUGGUAGUGGGGGAUAACGUCCGGAAACGGGCGCUAAUACCGCAUACGUCCUGAGGGAGAAAGUGGGGGAGCUUCGGACCUCACGCUAUCAGAUGAGCCUAGGUCGGAUUAGCUAGUUGGUGGGGUAAAGGCCUACCAAGGCGACGAUUGGUAACUGGUCUGAGAGGAUGAUUAGUCGCACUGGAACUUAGACACGGUCCAGAGGCCUACGGGAGGCAGCAGUGGGGAAUAGUGGACAAUGGGGGAAAGCCUGGUCCAGUCGUGCCGCGUGUGUGAAGAAGGUGUUCGGAUUGUAAAGCACUUUAAGUUGGGAGGAAGCGCAGUAAGUUAAUACCUUGCUGUUUUGACGUUACCAACAGAAUAAGCACCGGCUAACUUCGUG
RNAcentral lists this ribosomal RNA (484 nucleotides) under uncultured bacterium. Its description in RNAcentral is "partial 16S ribosomal RNA". It matches the Rfam family "Bacterial small subunit ribosomal RNA", at positions 30 to 507 of the family's 1533-position model. The record is from RNAcentral.